Non-coding RNA from Paramuricea clavata, 667 nucleotides. The record is from the annotation of a GenBank genome assembly. Lineage: Eukaryota; Metazoa; Cnidaria; Anthozoa; Malacalcyonacea; Plexauridae.
GCGAUUCCCUCAACCCUCGCCGUAUUUAUAUCGUCUUGAUUCAUUUUAAUAGGCAAACUGCCAAAAGAUAACAGUAUAAAAUCGCAGCUGGAUGAGAGAGCCCAAAGCCCCAAGCACUGUUGCUUUUCAGUGUUUCCACUUGUAGCGAAUUUUUCCAAAUAUGAACUUUAAUUUACAAACUUGAAUUUUGGCGGAGAUUUGACACCUUCAUCCGCCAAAAUUCAACUUGCGAAUACGAACUAUAAUGUUGGGAAUACGAACUAUAAUGUUGGAAAUACGAACUAUAAUGUUGGGAAUACGAACUAUAAUGUUGGGAAUAUGAACUAUAAUGUUGGGAAUACGAACUAUAAUGUUGGGAAUACGAACUAUAAUGUUGGGAAUACGAACUAUAAUGUUGGGAAUAUGAACUAUAAUGUUGGGAAUACGAACUAUAAUGUCGCGAAUACGAACUAUAAUGUUGCGAAUACGAACUAUAAUGUUGCGAAUACGAACUAUAAUGUUGCGAAUACGAACUAUAAUGUUGCGAAUACGAACUAUAAUGUUGCGAAUACGAACUAUAGUUGCGAAUACAAACUAUAAUGUUGCGAAUACGAACUAUAAUAUUGCGAAUACGAACUAUAAUGUUGCAAAUACGAUCUUUAAUUUUGGCGGAAAUAUGACGCCAUAG